RNAcentral lists this ribosomal RNA (697 nucleotides) under Ramaria sp. 16 RG-2012. RNAcentral's name for it is "eukaryotic LSU rRNA". The stretch from base 291 to 445 matches the Rfam family "5.8S ribosomal RNA". The record is from RNAcentral. Lineage: Eukaryota; Fungi; Basidiomycota; Agaricomycetes; Gomphales; Gomphaceae.
AGGAAGUAAAAGUCGUAACAAGGUUUCCGUAGGUGAACCUGCGGAAGGAUCAUUAUCGAAUGUUCAGAGGCGACUGCUGCUGGCUCCUCUAAUGAGGAUGCAUGUGCGCGUCCCUCGCCUUUCAUCCAACAUACACUUGUGCACUAUAGGACGAGCGCCUUCCAUUAGGAGCCGCUCCACGCAACCUCUCUCUCCGGAGGGGGGUGGGGUGGGGUCGAGGUCUCGAUCCUCUUUAUACAUCAACCAUCCUGUCUCUAAUGCAUGUAACGAUAUUUUCUUAAACGAAAUACAACUUUCAACAACGGAUCUCUUGGCUUUCGCAUCGAUGAAGGACGCCGCGAAAGUGCGAAACGUAAUGUGAAUUGCAGAAUUCAGUGAAUCAUCGAAUCUUUGAACGCAUCUUGCGCUCCUUGGUAUUCCGAGGAGCAUGCCUGUUUGAGUGUCGUGAAAUCUCUCAGCCUCAGUCCUUUUAUCGGGGCAAAGGGUUGGAUUUGGACGUUGCAGUCUUUUCAAAGUCUGCUCGUCUUGAAAUGCAUUAGCGUUCCGCCGCGAGUUCGGUUUCGUACGACGGUGUGAUAAGUAACACUUUGACGCCGUCUGGACCGAGUCUUCGAGGAUGCUUCUAAUCGUCUUAGGACAACUUCAUGUCAUCUGACCUCAAAUCAGGUAGGACUACCCGCCGAACUUAAGCAUAUCA